GACGAACGCUGGCGGCGUGCUUAACACAUGCCAGUCGAACGGAAAGGCCCUGCUUUUGUGGGGUGCUCGAGUGGCGAACGGGUGAGUAACACGUGAGUAACCUGCCCUUGACUUUGGGAUAACUUCAGGAAACUGGGGCUAAUACCGGAUAGGAGCUCCUGCUGCAUGGUGGGGGUUGGAAAGUUUCGGCGGUUGGGGAUGGACUCGCGGCUUAGCGGCUUGUUGGUGGGGUAGUGGCUUACCAAGGCUUUGACGGGUAGCCGGCCUGAGAGGGUGACCGGCCACAUUGGGACUGAGAUACGGCCCAGACUCCUACGGGAGGCAGCAGUGGGGAAUAUUGCACAAUGGGCGGAAGCCUGAUGCAGCAACGCCGCGUGCGGGAUGACGGCCUUCGGGUUGUAAACCGCUUUCGCCUGUGACGAAGCGUGAGUGACGGUAAUGGGUAAAGAAGCACCGGCUAACUACGUG
Molecule: ribosomal RNA, 468 nt
Filed under: uncultured bacterium
Lineage: Bacteria
Description: partial 16S ribosomal RNA
Rfam family: Bacterial small subunit ribosomal RNA
Source: RNAcentral